UAGGGAAUCUUCCGCAAUGGACGCAAGUCUGACGGAGCAACGCCGCGUGAGUGAAGAAGGAUUUCGGUUCGUAAAACUCUGUUGUUAGAGAAGAACAGCGCAUAGAGUAACUGUUAUGCGUGUGACGGUAUCUAACCAGAAAGCCACGGCUAACUACGUGCCAGCAGCCGCGGUAAUACGUAGGUGGCAAGCGUUGUCCGGAUUUAUUGGGCGUAAAGCGAGCGCAGGCGGUCAAUUAAGUCUGAUGUGAAAGCCCCCGGCUCAACCGGGGAGGGUCAUUGGAAACUGGUUGACUUGAGUGCAGAAGAGGAGAGUGGAAUUCCAUGUGUAGCGGUGAAAUGCGUAGAUAUAUGGAGGAACACCAGUGGCGAAGGCGACUCUCUGGUCUGUAACUGACGCUGAGGCUAGAAAGCGUGGGUAGCAAACAGG
RNAcentral lists this ribosomal RNA (429 nucleotides) under Bacteroidota bacterium. RNAcentral's name for it is "Bacteroidetes bacterium partial 16S ribosomal RNA". It matches the Rfam family "Bacterial small subunit ribosomal RNA", at positions 355 to 776 of the family's 1533-position model. Lineage: Bacteria; Pseudomonadati; Bacteroidota. The record is from RNAcentral.